Molecule: ribosomal RNA, 1181 nt
Filed under: uncultured bacterium
Lineage: Bacteria
Description: bacterial SSU rRNA
Rfam family: Bacterial small subunit ribosomal RNA
Source: RNAcentral
AGUAAAGGUUUAUUCCGGUAAGGGAUGGGUCUGCGCCCUAUCAGCUUGUUGGUAAGGUAAUGGCUUACCAAGGCUAUGACGGGUAGGCGGAGUGAGAGCUUGUCCGCCAACAAUGGCACUGAGACACUGGCCAUACUCCUACGGGAGGCUGCAGUCGAGAAUAUUGGUCAAUGGACGAAAGUCUGAACCAGCGACGUCGCGUGUAGGAAUAAGAUCUUCGGAUUGUAAACUACUUUUAUAAGGGAAGAAUCUUUUAGAUGACGGUACCUUAUGAAUAAGGGGUGACAAAACUCGUGCCAGCAGUAGCGGUAAUACGAGUGCCCCAAGCGUUAUCCGGAUUAAUUGGGCGUAAAGGGUCCGUAGGCGGUUUGUUAAGUUUUUCGUUAAAUCUCCAGGGCUUAACCUUGGAGUUGCGGAAAAAACUAACAGACUAGAGGAUGUUAGGGGCUAGCGGAAUGUCUGGUGUAGGGGUGAAAUCCGUUGAUAUCAGAUGGAACACCAAAAGCGAAGGCAGCUAGCUGGGGCAAUCCUGACGCUCAGGGACGAAAGCGUGGGGAGAAAAGAGGAUUAGAUACCCUCGUAUUCCACGCCAUAAACGAUGAGCACUAGCUAUUGCAAGUGUCGACCCUCGCAGUGGUCAAGCUAACGCGUUAAGUGCUCCGCCUGGGAAGUACGGCCGCAAGGCUAAAACUCAAAGGAAUAGACGGGGACUCACACAAGCGGUGGAUCACGUGGCUUAAUUCGACUCUAAGCGAGGAACCUUACCAAGGCUUGAAACUCUAAUGAAAUCCUUCCGAAAGGAAGGCCCUCCGAAAGGACAUUAGAGCAGGUGCUGCAUGGUUGUCGUCAGCAGGUGGCUUGAGUUGCUCCCUUAAAUGGGGAAACCUGCGCAACCCUUACCCUAUGUUUUAAAUGUCAUGGGGGAGUGCCUAGGACAACUAGGAGGAAGGUGAGGAUGACGGCAAAUCAGCAUGGCCCUUUGAUGCCUUGGGCUGCACACGUGAUACAAUGGAAAAGACAAAGGGGUGGUAAGAGGUAACUUGGAGCAAAUCCCAUCAAACAUUUCCUCAAUUCGGAUUGAGGUGUGCAACCCGACCUCAUGAAGUCGGAAUCGCUAGUAACCGUAGAUCAGCCAUGCUACGGUGAAUAAGUCCCUGGGUCUUGUACACACCGCCCGUCAA